GACGAACGCUGGCGGCGUGCUUAACACAUGCAAGUCGAACGGAAAGGCCCUGCUUUUGUGGGGUGCUCGAGUGGCGAACGGGUGAGUAACACGUGAGUAACCUGCCCUUGACUUUGGGAUAACUUCAGGAAACUGGGGCUAAUACCGGAUAGGAGCUCCUGCUGCAUGGUGGGGGUUGGAAAGUUUCGGCGGUUGGGGAUGGACUCGCGGCUUAUCAGCUUGUUGGUGGGGUAGUGGUUUACCAAGGCUUUGACGGGUAGCCGGCCUGAGAGGGGGACCGGCCACAUUGCGACUGAGAUACGGACCAGUGGCGAACGGGGGGCAGCAGUGGGGAACCUUGCACAGUGAGGGGACGCGUGAGACGAAGGCGCUGGGUGCGGGAUGACGGCUUUCGGGGUGUGAACCGCUUUCGCCUGAGACGAGGCGUGAGUGACGGUAAUGGAUAAAGAAGCACCGGCUAACUACGUG
Molecule: ribosomal RNA, 468 nt
Filed under: uncultured bacterium
Lineage: Bacteria
Description: partial 16S ribosomal RNA
Rfam family: Bacterial small subunit ribosomal RNA
Source: RNAcentral